Molecule: ribosomal RNA, 239 nt
Filed under: uncultured bacterium
Lineage: Bacteria
Description: partial 16S ribosomal RNA
Rfam family: Bacterial small subunit ribosomal RNA
Source: RNAcentral
GCGUUGUUCGGAUUUACUGGGCGUAAAGGGCGCGUAGGCGGCUUGACAAGUCACUUGUGAAAUCUCCGGGCUUAACUCGGAACGGCCAAGUGAAACUGUCAUGCUAGAGUGCAGAAGGGGCAAUCGGAAUUCUUGGUGUAGCGGUGAAAUGCGUAGAUAUCAAGAGGAACACCUGAGGUGAAGACGGGUUGCUGGGCUGACACUGACGCUGAGGCGCGAAAGCCAGGGGAGCAAACGGG